GGGCUGCCGGUUCACACAAAGGGUUGUACUCGACCACUUCUAGGUUGCCGGUGUCGGAGGACUACUACAGAGGCAAGGACAUGGUCGAUUGGCUCACUUGCCUUAUGCUUGGUUCCGGUUUCUCUCCCUCCCGCGCCGGAGUCGUUGAGAUUUUGUGCAAGUUGGCAGACAUGGAUUUUAUAGAUGAUGCAGGUAGUUCAUCCACUCCUGGAUAUUAGGAGGACACCUAGAAAACCUCAGUAUACUAAGGCACCAGAGCUUCCAUUGAUAUUACUACUUUACCCAUUUGAUAAAAUCAGCUAUGUGUGUUCAUCAGGUAUGCACUUUCCUAUGAGCAUACUCACAUCAGAUUUUAUUUCGUCUUAUUUAGGUUUGCUGGAUUUAUAUGGUACUACAAGUAGUUGAUUUGCAUGGAUUUUAUAUGAUUUUAUAGGUAGUUAAUUCGCUUCAGGAUUUUACAAAGCCUCCUACAAAAAACUCAGUAUACUAUGGCACCAGAGUUUCAUUGAUUUUACUAAUUUACCUAUUUGAUAAAGUCAGAUCCAGCAGGUAUGUACUUUGAUAUCUCUGUGCUGAAUGAUGCAUCCAUGGGAGAUUUCAGCUUGCCAAAUACAUCAGCAAGUUGUUCUAGCCAUGACAUUGUAGUUAGCCCAGAACUACCAGAAAUGGCUUAACUCAAUUAUAAUAAUAUCUACGUUACCAUAGAUAUGAGCCAUACAUUUAUAUGAUGUUGCAGUUCUUCUUGACAAAUUUGGUAGAAGAAGUAUAAAAACUGCCUUCUCACAACUUUUAGUUAUCCUCAACCACCUAUUUUCUAUGCUCCUGUUAUUAUUACUCAUUUUAGCAUAGAUAGAUAAAUGAGCAAGGGAACAUUUAGUUUGGCUUCGAAGGGAUCCAUUAGAGGCUGCGACAACGCAAACUUUUAUUUUAUCUAAGGAAAAAAAUGCAGAUCAAUGAUUCUUUGCAUCAUAGGUGUUGCUGCUUCAUGAGAUCAAAAUUGACAUGGUUCCACAGUUACAAAUAAUGAUUUUGAGAAAUCUGCAUUGUUUGUGUUCCGUGUGCUAGAUGCUGAGUUAGGUUCUCUUCAUUUUGGUGGAAAAAAUGUUGUUUUGGGAGGUGAUUUCAGGCAAGUGUUGCCUGUUGUAGAAAGGAGCAGCAUAGCUGAAGUCGUCGACUCUUUGCUUAUUAGGUCCCUAUAGCAGCAUGUGAUUGUGCUUAGGCUGCCCAUAAACACGAGGUUGUCUAAUCAUGCGCUAUCAGAUGAGGAGCAGGCUGGUCUGAAAGAAUUUGCACAGUGGGUUCUUCAUGUUGGUGAGGGAGCAAUGCCCAUGGAUACACGAGAGGGGUAAGCUAGCCCUUCUUGGAUCUCUUUGCCACUUGAUAUAACACAGCUGCCUUUUUUCUGAUCAUGUCUUUCUGAGAUGUAUUCCGAUGCAUCUUACUUGGCGGCUGUCUUCUAUGGGUACCUUCAGAAGAAAUAGUUUUCGAAAGUUGUGAUAGUAUGCAAUGACCAUUGACAAAAUUUCAGGGUCAUGCUCUUAACAAGGUUGGCAUUUACUUGCAAAGCCGGCUUUCUCACAUUAAGGGAGGGAUUGAAAGUGUUAGCGCUCGAUGAAUCUGGUGAAGCGACCAAGUAAUAUAGUAUACUGAGAAGUGCUUGGUCAUCUCUAGGCGUUCUUAUACACGUGUUUCCAUGUACUACAUUUUUUCUGCACUGUCACAUUUUUCGGUGGAUGUUAGUUUUCUUAUGCUCUUCCAUUCUCUGUAUGUAGAUUAAUUAUUAUUACUUGGACCUGCUGGCUAAUGCUUUUGUUCAUUUUGCUUUUGUCCUCAGGGAUAAAUGCCUAUCUUUUAGUAACUGCUUAUAAGUGCACCGCAUGGUGUACCACUACUGAAACUAUACCAAAAACGCUGGAAAUUAAGGUCCUGCAAUUGCACUUAGCUGAUCUAGCCUGGACAUAUAUCCAGACAAAGUGCAAAUGCGUGGUGCUCUAUCUAUUUCUAUAUGUUGUCGCUAUCAUGGAACCCUUUCUGUUUUGGUACUGCUAUGGCGCAAGUUUAGAAGUUGUGUACAAACCUCAGGAGCUAAAGUCGCUUCGUGCAUUUGGUUUAAAUACAAGAAGAGUGGCCAUGGCCAGUUCUUAAAUUUUUGUAUGUUUUCUAGCGAUAUAAGGAGCAUACGGCCAAGGCCAACACUUAGCUUUGUUACAUUUUCAAGCAAUAAGCUGAGAACUGCUUCGUCUGACUGUUUAUUAUGUGAUGUAUGUUAUCUUGCAUAUCUGUAUUGUACAAACAUGUAAAAGGUAGUUUUUUAUGAUUCAUGUUUUUAUGCU
This is a long non-coding RNA of Lolium perenne, 2333 nucleotides long. RefSeq lists it as uncharacterized. NCBI's taxonomy places the organism in Eukaryota, Viridiplantae, Streptophyta, Magnoliopsida, Poales, Poaceae. The record is from RefSeq and is a predicted model, not a curated record.